UACGGAGGGGGCUAGCGUUGUUCGGAAUUACUGGGCGUAAAGCGCACGUAGGCGGCUUCUUAAGUCAGGGGUGAAAUCCUGGAGCUCAACUCCAGAACUGCCUUUGAUACUGAGGAGCUUGAGUCCGGGAGAGGUGAGUGGAACUGCGAGUGUAGAGGUGAAAUUCGUAGAUAUUCGCAAGAACACCAGUGGCGAAGGCGGCUCACUGGCCCGGUACUGACGCUGAGGUGCGAAAGCGUGGGGAGCAAACAGG
Molecule: ribosomal RNA, 253 nt
Filed under: uncultured bacterium
Lineage: Bacteria
Description: partial 16S ribosomal RNA
Rfam family: Bacterial small subunit ribosomal RNA
Source: RNAcentral